Long non-coding RNA from Felis catus (domestic cat), 4200 nucleotides. RefSeq lists it as uncharacterized. The record is from RefSeq and is a predicted model, not a curated record. Lineage: Eukaryota; Metazoa; Chordata; Mammalia; Carnivora; Felidae. The transcript has 5 exons.
ACCACAACGACACCUCAACUAAGUUAUAAAAAGUACAUCUAAUGCACUGGAAUAGUCUUUAAAGGACAGGGUGAACCUUUCUCCGAAUGACUGGGGUGACCAUAUAGUUUUAUCAUCCAAGCCUGGAAAUUUGUGCAAGUCAAAGUGAGUGCUAAAAAUAAUUAACGGGUGUUAUCUCAUCUACAACAGGGUGUGUGAGCUGGCAGUGCCCUGCACAAAACAGCGCUUACGGCUUUGGGAACAACAAAUACCCAAUCUAUCCCUCGGUGUGAUUAGAUACUUGUUACAUAAAGCAAACCGCAACGUUCCCUCCUCCGAAGACAGCCAGAGCUGGCAACGGCCAGCUGGAAAGCAGUCACGGAAAUGGUGCUGGUCUUCAGUGUCGCGCAGGACAGAUGCCAAGGCUCCCGCCUCAAGGGCACGGUUAUCCUCACACGGUCAUUUCAGGGCAAUCAUUAGGAUGACACUAGGAGCAAAGCCUGCUGGAUCAAUCCCCAUCCCAGCAAGCCGUGCGGUGUGGAAACAUGACCAGGCAGAGGUGCACCACGAUACUUCGGGGAAGCCAGGCACGUGACACGCUCACCAGAGAUUCUGGGGAAUCAGGACACAGUACAGCCCCAACCAUGAUCCAUCUGAAAUGAGGUAGACAGAAGCCGAGGAAGCUAUAAACCAGAACCAAGCCCGAAUCAAAUAGAUCAGGCAACAAAAAGGACACAAGACAGAGUGAAGGCUGCCCGCUCAAGGAGAACUGCACCCUCUCUCGGGCAGGGGGCUCAGCACAGGGGCUGCUCUGCAAGGGAGACCACACUCAUUUUCCCAAACGUCCCUCCUGCGGCCUACGAUGCUUGUUCUAGCCGUACCAUCUGCACGAACACCUGAACGCAUUCUGAGCCCCCAGUGCUACAGAGCGAGGAAAUAGAGUUUACAUGAUCAACUUUGCCACAUCUACAGAUGAAAUGUCUCCACCUACACAAGUGAUCGUUAUAGACCCAUGAUGUGGAAGGGCUUACGAUGAAAAUGUAAAGUUACACACACGCUGCUCUGCGUGUAACAUGGGAACAGCAGCAUACGCCCCCGGCAAAAGCCUGAGGGACUCGGAGAAAGAGAAGAGCUGCUGAACUGUGACCUUUCCUCCCCUCACUUUAAAUCUCCUCUAGAACCAUUAUUAUGAUGUAAGCACUCUGCACAAUAAGGGGGUAAGCUGCCUGCACGGGUUCCGGUCCCGGGACGCUCCUGGGGCCCGCCCCCCAGCCCACUCACUCGCCCCUUCUCGGUGGCCAGUCCAGCCCCCGGGCCCACAGAGAUCUGCCCCACGCUCGCACUGUGUUCUGCCCCUUCUGCUGUUACACCUGUCACGGGACACUAUAAUCACUUCUUUUCACGUCUAACAGGCUGUGAGAAGUCCCUGAGUGCAGGGGACAUGUUUAUCCAUGUCCGUCUGCCCUCAGGCACUGGGCAGAGAGAGUACCUCCACGCUGGAUGCUUGAAAGAAGGAAAAACAAGUCUGUCCAAAACCUGCGUCUUUUCCAAUUGGUUUCUGUUUGUUUUCAGAAAUCAGAAUGCCAAGGUACAGCCGGAGUGUUGUCAAAUUGUUGCUGGGCUCUCCAGGGGUAGAUAAGAAGUUUUCACACUGUCAAACUUAAGGGACACACACACACACACACACACACACACACACACACACACACAGAAAAAGGAGCCGGGCCUAACCCAUAGCUGCUCAUCAGAAUCCAAAGACGCACAGCUCCCAGCAAGCUCUCGGCCCAGUGCGAAGGGCAUUUGUAAGAGGGUAACAGCAACCCACAGCAUAGUCCACUGCGGCGAACGAACCAUUCAAUAUCCUCUCUGAAGAGAAAGAAGCAACAAAGCCUCCUUCCUGGCUCACGCUCGCCGGCACAGAGCCCAUGUGCGUCCUGCACGGGGAACAGCAAGCUUCAAAGAGAACCCCCGGCCUCAAGUCAAGACCUAAGAAAGUGUGACCAAGUGCACAGAUUACUAAGGAGCCUGUGCGCACCUGGCAUCACAAGAGUGUGAGUCCCAAACGUGGCUGCACUGCAAAAUCAUGGAAAGCACCGAAAAGUCACCCGCUUACAAAUCGGCAUCAGAAUCUCUGGGGAUGGUGCCAAUAUUUUUUUCCCAAAGGGUGCUCAGGCACAGCCAAGUUUGGGAACCGCUGCCCUGAGUAAGCAGAAGGUGGCAACAUGUUACCUUCUGACCACGGCAUGAACAGGAAGACCUCCCAGAAGAGACAGUUGUCACCCUACCUUUGAGGAAUGGACAGGUCUGUAGAGGGAACUUCAGCAAAGGGCCCCCAUACUGAGGAGCCCCACCAAGACCAGGGUGACCUGUGCACAGGGGUACUGGUUCCCUACAAAAAGCAGGUCGGCUGGAGCAGGUCCGUGGCGAGGCGAGAGGCUGGGACAGCUGGGGAGCGCCACGUCCCAUGGACUGGAGGAGGCAUAUUCCAGUCAAACUUGUCUUUCCUCUUCAAGGUCCAACUCAAGUGAGGUUGCUGCCAGGACCCCAGGGAUAAGAGUACUGCUUUUAGGGCCAGUGAAGACUAGAAUAAUCCACAGUGAUUUUAAUUAGAAGUUAUUAUUCAGCAAACAGAGAAAGUAUGAAACAUUUCACUUAAGAAAUAGGCUGGAACCUAAAGCUGGCAAAUUCCCUUCUCCUAUUCACGCCACUUUUUUGGCCUUGUGAGGGGCGGCCCCACCUGAAGGUGAGAAGGCAGAAGACACCGUGAGCUCUACUCCCCAUCUUCUGGAAGCUCCCGCUGCCGCCACGCCACCAAGGAAGAAUCUGAAGGCAAUCUCUACGUCUCCAGCCUCACCCCAGCCUCACACUGUUCUUAAAGAACAGGACGACAAGCAGACCCCCUCUAGUUACAUGAGCCUCGUUUGUGACACCUCCUCCAUCCAGCCUGUCUAAAAUCUCUCCCCUCCCCACAUACCCUCCCCCAUCUCCCUUGGCAGUCUCUUGUCCUAUGGGCCCUCAUUUCUUAACGUUAUAGCUCUCUGGCCAUCCGGGGGAGAAAUAAAAAUGGAGCCUUUUGUACUGUGGAGUAAAUGUACUCAUGCUUCUCAGCUACAAAAGGUUUCCAAUUGCAGCAGCUUUCACGGACUGAUUGUAGCAGGCAGGCAAUUUAGUAGACAUUGUGCAAUUGGGGAAUUACUCCAGGAAUAGCUGGAAAACCAAAUGAGAUGUCCCAGGAAACGUAGCAGCUUCUGGACAAAUGCAUUCGUCCUGCACUUGCUCCUGGCGCACGUGUGCCAAGCACUGGCCAAGUCCACGGCCGGGCCCUGCCUUUCGGGAGGGCCGACUUCAGACAGACCCACACAGGGACUCGGGCAGUUGGCUGCAUGGUAAGCACCAGGUUCGGGGUGCGGACGAGAAAUACUGCAGGGGUGACUGAGGGGGAAGAUCAUCAAGUAUGAAUUUUAAGCCAAGAAAAUACUUCUAUUGCUCACAGCUCCGGAACUGCCGGACUCUCUACGGAAGCAUGACUGGCGGGAAGCGGGCCGUGAACUCGCCCCGUGUAUCUCCAUGUUCCAUACGUCAUCACGGAUCACUCAUGGGAUGAGCUUGCCUAUCUACACAUGUUUCUGGGUAACCUCAGUAUUAAUCUUUCUCUUGUCCCCUCUCAGUACAUCCUCAGGUGAAAAGGCAGUUUUUAAAGCACUAACGAAAUCAAAAAUAAAUGUGAGAGAAUUGGUGCCUCGUCCCUGAAGGCUGGGAAUCGUCCAUGACUACCUGACAGAGAUGUGGUUCCAGAGGUUUCUCCAACACAGACUGCCUCCACAUCUGCAAGUCCAGCGUGGGCACUCUGAACACAUUUCCCAUAGAGACAACAUACAAAUCAGGGUUCACUGCCGGAGCAGGCUGACAGAGCUCCGUAUUAACUCACGUGGUACCAAAAGCAUAGUGCCAUCCUAUUGUUUCCAUAUUUUUACCGAGAUAUAAUUCCCACAGAGUUCACCCUUUUAAAGUGUACAACUUAGUGGCUUUUAGCAUACUCCCAAAGUUGGGCAACUAUCACCUGUAUCUAAUUUUAGAACAUUUUGUCACCCCCUGAAAAAAGCCUGUACCUCCAGCAACCAUUCCUCCCUCCUCCACAGGCCCCCGCCCCACCACUCAGCUACUUUCUGUCUCUACAGAUUUGCCUACUGUGGCAUUUCAUAUAAAUGGAAUCAUCAAAUA